This 3018-nucleotide unclassified non-coding RNA is filed under the name Dimorphilus gyrociliatus. RNAcentral describes it as "ubiquitin carboxyl-terminal hydrolase MINDY". The record is from RNAcentral. Lineage: Eukaryota; Metazoa; Annelida; Polychaeta; Dinophilidae.
GUACGAGACAAGAAACAUGACCGCCUCUAACUGUAUCAUUUAAAUUUUAUGAAAUGGAAACAUCAGAAAAUGUCCCUCCUCAUCAUAUCGACCAUCAAGAAAUUUUAGCUUUGAAGAAGCUAUUAUGGGGCGCAACAAUCAAAUCAGAAAUAUUUCACCGUUGGGAUCAAGGUUACUUAUGUUUUCUCUCUUUUUCGCAGUAUUCUUUAUUUUCGUUGACAAAUAGGUUUCGAGUUCAGUGAGAAUGAACCAAUUGCUUUAGUGCAACAACAAGGGGGCCCAUGUGCUGUAAUAGCAUCGACUCAAGCAUUUUUGUUGAAAAACAUAUUAUUUUCCGAUAAUAAACCUGAUACAAAUUGGAGGGGUCUAGAAGGUUUGCAUUCUUACAUGACAUAAAAAUUAAUAAUUCUUGCCAAAUUGUAGAUAAUGAAAAGUUAUACUUCCUGGCAAAUUCUAUUUGUGAUAUGCUACAUCAGGUAUCGACAAAUGGACAAUACUGCAUCGUUCAAUUUGAUUCCGGAAAUGAUUCGAACAUGAAAAUUGGCCAUGAAGAAUUUCACUCCCGAUUAAAAUUAAUAAAAUGCACGUCCUCAAAGGAAGCCAGCAAAGUAAUUCAAAAUUCCAUUGCAGAGUAUCUAUGCCAGUUCGGUGUCCUUCUCCUUAUGUACUCAGUAUUACUUACGAAAGGCUUAGGAAUUGUUAAGAAGGAAAUGGAGGAUUCUUCUGAAGUAUUGAUAGACUCUAUUCAUGGUCAUGGAAGUCAGAGUCUUAUCAACUUGUUAAUUACUGGCAGUGCUGUAACAAACUUGUGGGAUGGAGAGAGAGAAGUUUGCGGUUUAAAAUUGCAGGGCAUCCCUUCGCGUUCACCUAUCGGAUUUCUCACACAACUGGAGCAUCUUCGUUAUACUGAAGUAGGAUGGAAUUUAAAGAAUCCUGCUUAUCCAAUAUGGAUAUUAGGAAGUGAAACGCAUUUAACAGUCCUUUUCUCGCUAGAGGAAACUCUGGUAACUCAUGAGACUCAAGCUCAAACCGCUCGACGAACGUUUGCUAGAUUUGAUACUGAAUGUAAUGGAUUUAUCACUAUAGACAAGUUUGGAGAUUUACUUAAAAGUCUCAACCUGGAAUCAGCUCCCGAUUAUGUAAAUAUAAUGAAAAGCAGAGUGGAUGAAGAGGGUCUGGGUAUAAUUAUGCUAUCUAAAUUUAUGGAGGAAUUUUUUCCAAAUGAGAAGGCAGAUAAAUCUGUAACAAAAUUUACGCUAUUUCAUGUAAAUUGCUUGGCGAGAUCAUCCACUGAAAAUAAAGUUGAAUUUAUUGAGGGUCAGGCGGAAAUUUGUGAUCUUCCUGACGUGCAAGUCUUGGGUGACACAUCGAAUAUUCGGACAUGCUUGAUGACCAAAUGGCCCACAAUCGAAUUAAAAUGGAAUAAUAGUCGUGUACCUUCUUUAAAUUAAAAAACUGGUCGUAUAAACGAGUUAUGCAAAUACGUUCAACUCGAGAGUAGAAAGUUUAAAUAAAAUAAAUUUGUCGUUUACAUUGCUUCUAUUUUUCAACUAGAACUUUUCAUUUUCUUUCUUUUUUAAAUAGACUGUUUGUAAAAGUUCGUCGAGAAAGUCAUCAAUCUUUAAAGAUGCAUCUUGAAUUUCGUCGCGAGAUUUUGAUAGUGCAAUGAUAGGAAGCUUCCUUAGCGUUCUUCCACUGAGUCCCUGACAACAGUGAGCAAUUCUAUGAAUCAUCUGUGCAUACUUAGGAGUAUCUUUAUUACAAGAUUCAAACCAAUUGAAUCUCUUAUAUUUUAUAUUAGGCAAGGCCAAUAUUCGACAACGAAUCAGCUCCUCAACUGAAGAACAUAAUAUAUUGUAGGCUGAUGCAGGACUUGGGUUAUCAAUAAAUAUUUUCAUAUCUGCUCGGUCUGCAAAUGCUUCGUCUAUACAUUUCGUUACAUUCGAAGUUGCGAGGACCAAAACAUUGCGAUGACGACGAAGUUGGUCGAGUUGUGUUAAAAGUGCAUUAACCGCUCUAAUUGAAUCGCCAGGGUCAUUUGAAGAGGCUUGCCUCAUCAUCGCAAGACUUUCUACUUCAUCAAUUAAAACUAUUAACAAUGUUUGUGAAUCGAGAGCCGCUAUUUCGUGCAAACGUGCAAAAGUUUUAGAUAUCAAUUUCCCGCUUUCACUAAACCACUUCGAGAAUAAGCUAUGGCUAUUUAUCUCUAAGAGUUCAGCACUAGUGAAUCUUUUUUUAAGCCUUAUUGAUAGCUUAUUUGCUAAAGCUUUACAAAGAGAUGUUUUCCCUGUUCCUGGAGGUCCAUGCAAAAGUAACAUUCGAUUACACGUAACAACGUUAGAGUCGACUCCCUUAUCUGCCAAAACAAUGGUUGUAGCUGCCAUAUCCAGUAACUUUUGCUUGACAUCACUGUCAAAUAUUAAAUUAUCCCAUAAAUUGUCAAACUGAACUGAUGGUAGUGUAUAAAGAGUUGUUCCAACGAUACCUUCUUCUAUUUCUUCACAGUAAGGAUCUUCAGUUUGACAAGAAUAGAUAUAGGUUUUUCUGCUUCCGAAAACAUGACCUUCGAAAGAAAUUUUCUCAAUUUCAUCUUUCAAAACUGGACAUGAGUCAAAAGAGUCAAUAGUAUUUCCUACAAAUUCUUUUGAGCAUUGGUUAUCAAGAUAGUCGUUAACUAAAUCUUCGAUGUAGUCUUCUGAAGCGAGACUUUUUAGUUUUUGAAAAACCUCAAUAUGUAAAAUAUUUUUAUUCUCCAUGAAUCUAUUCUCCAUACACACUGAAGAGUGACAGUCACACAUGUUGCUAUCAUUUUUUUCCAUUUCUUUAAAGGUAGUCUGAAAGUAAGUCUUCAGGCGGGUCAACGUUUGAAAAUUGCUGGUAACGGAAACGGAAAUGAAAAUAUAUAUCACUUUUGAGGGGUUAUUCCUAAAUUUGGCUGAAUUUGUGUUCACCAGAAAAACUUCAAUUUAUAAAAUUUAGUAUUAUCAUUUUUGUGUCCUUGAGAACAAAACUAUAAAC